CUUGUAACGUUAACAGAACCCGAACACUACUUCAGUUUCGUUUCGCCUUCGACAGAAAACGGACUGGUGGCCGCACACGAGAGACCACAAGAAUCGUAGGAGCUAACCUAUUAUCAGCCCCGUAAAAACAUCUCUUUACGAUUGCACGAGUCAAAACGAAUUUCAAAAUUGCAUCCGACACCGGUAUGCUUGCCCAUUUGGCCGUUUCGAAACUUUUGUGUAAUGGAUCGCAUAAAGGAGACCGAUCAAAUCCUCUUCGAUAUUUAUAAUUUUCACGCCAAUUUAGGAUAGAAACAUUUUGCGAAAAAAACUCAUGGCUCCCGAUUCGAUCGAUUCCAAGGAAAUAAAGGAACCGGUAGCAUAACUUCCACGAAUUAUUCGCACGAAUUCGAUCGUGUUAUCGCAUUUACGCCUCGUGUUUCAGCAGGCAAACUGGUUAUUAAAAUUAGAUACGCUCAUUUUUGGGGAAAAUUAACUUGCUUUUUAAUAGAAU
Apis florea (little honeybee) is the source of this 493-nucleotide long non-coding RNA. NCBI's taxonomy places the organism in Eukaryota, Metazoa, Arthropoda, Insecta, Hymenoptera, Apidae. The record is from RefSeq and is a predicted model, not a curated record.